This 428-nucleotide ribosomal RNA is filed under the name bacterium. Its description in RNAcentral is "partial 16S ribosomal RNA". It matches the Rfam family "Bacterial small subunit ribosomal RNA", at positions 355 to 776 of the family's 1533-position model. The record is from RNAcentral.
UAGGGAAUCUUCGGCAAUGGGGGCAACCCUGACCGAGCAACGCCGCGUGAGUGAAGAAGGUCUUCGGAUCGUAAAGCCCUGUUGUAAGAGAAGAACGUGUGUGAGAGUGGAAAGUUCACACAGGGACGGUAACGUACCAGAAAGGGACGGCUAACUACGUGCCAGCAGCCGCGGUAAUACGUAGGUCCCGAGCGUUGUCCGGAUUUAUUGGGCGUAAAGCGAGCGCAGGCGGUUUAAUAAGUCUGAAGUUAAAGGCAGUGGCUUAACCAUUGCUCGCUUUGGAAACUGUUAAACUUGAGUGGAGAGGGGGAGAGUGGAAUUCCAUGUGUGGCGGUGAAAUGCGAAGAGAUAGGAGGAACACCGGUGGCGAAGGCGGCUGUCUGGUCUGUAACUGACGCUGAGGCUCGAAAGCGUGGGGAGCAAACAGG